GAUGAACGCUGGCGGCGUGCUUAACACAUGCAAGUCGAACGGAAAGGCUCCUGCUUGCAGGGGUACUCGAGUGGCGAACGGGUGAGUAACACGUGGGUGAUCUGCCCUGCACUUCGGGAUAAGCCUGGGAAACUGGGUCUAAUACCGGAUAGGACCACAUUUUGGAUGGUGUGGUGGAAAGUCUUUCGGUGUGGGAUGAGCUCGCGGCCUAUCAGCUUGUUGGUGGGGUAAUGGCCUACCAAGGCGUCGACGGGUAGCCGGCCUGAGAGGGUGUACGGCCACAUUGGGACUGAGAUACGGCCCAGACUCCUACGGGAGGCAGCAGUGGGGAAUAUUGCACAAUGGGCGCAAGCCUGAUGCAGCGACGCCGCGUGGGGGAUGACGGCCUUCGGGUUGUAAACUCCUUUCGCUAGGGACGAAGCGCAAGUGACGGUACCUGGAGAAGAAGCACCGGCUAACUACGUG
This 465-nucleotide ribosomal RNA is filed under the name uncultured bacterium. RNAcentral's name for it is "partial 16S ribosomal RNA". It matches the Rfam family "Bacterial small subunit ribosomal RNA", at positions 28 to 507 of the family's 1533-position model. The record is from RNAcentral.